UACAGAGGUCUCAAGCGUUGUUCGGAUUCAUUGGGCGUAAAGGGUGCGUAGGCGGCGCGGUAAGUCGGGUGUGAAAUCUCGGGGCUUAACUCCGAAACUGCAUUCGAUACUGCCGUGCUUGAGGACUGGAGAGGAGACUGGAAUUUACGGUGUAGCGGUGAAAUGCGUAGAUAUCGUAAGGAAGACCAGUGGCGAAGGCGGGUCUCUGGACAGUUCCUGACGCUGAGGCACGAAGGCCAGGGAGCAAACGGG
Molecule: ribosomal RNA, 252 nt
Filed under: uncultured bacterium
Lineage: Bacteria
Description: partial 16S ribosomal RNA
Rfam family: Bacterial small subunit ribosomal RNA
Source: RNAcentral